CCUACGGGCGGCAGCAGUCGAGAAUCAUUCACAAUGGGGGAAACCCUGAUGGUGCGACGCCGCGUGGGGGAAUGAAGGUCUUCGGAUUGUAAACCCCUGUCAUGUGGGAGCAAAUUAAAAAGAUAGUACCACAAGAGGAAGAGACGGCUAACUCUGUGCCAGCAGCCGCGGUAAUACAGAGGUCUCAAGCGUUGUUCGGAAUCACUGGGGGUAAAGCGUGCGUAGGCUGUUUCGUAAGUCGUGUGUGAAAGGCGCGGGCUCAACCCGCGGACGGCACAUGAUACUGCGAGACUAGAGUGAUGGAGAGGGAACCGGAAUUCUCGGUGUAGCAGUGAAAUGCGUAGAUAUCGAGAGGAACACUCGUGGCGAAGGCGGGUUCCUGGACAUUAACUGACGCUGAGGCACGAAGGCCAGGGGAGCGAAAGGGAUUAGAUACCCCGGUAGUC
This 446-nucleotide ribosomal RNA is filed under the name uncultured bacterium. RNAcentral describes it as "partial 16S ribosomal RNA". It matches the Rfam family "Bacterial small subunit ribosomal RNA", at positions 338 to 795 of the family's 1533-position model. The record is from RNAcentral.